AGGAUGAACGCUGGCGGUCUGCUUAACACAUGCAAGUCGAACGGAGUAGCAAUACUUAGUGGCGGACGGGUGAGUAACGCGUGAGAAUCUACCUUCAGGACGGAGACAACAGUUGGAAACGACUGCUAACCCCCGAUGUACCGAAAGGGCAAAUAUUUAUAGCCUGAAGAAGAGCUCGCGUCCGAUUAGCUAGUUGGAGAGGUAAAAGCUCACCAAGGCGACGAUCGGUAGCUGGUCUGAGAGGACGAUCAGCCACACUGGGACUGAGACACGGCCCAGACUCCUACGGGAGGCAGCAGUGGGAAUUUCCGCAAUGGGCGAAAGCCUGACGGAGCAAGACCGCGUGGGGGAAGAAGGCUCUUGGGUUGUAAACCCCUUUUCUCUGGGAAGAACGCAAUGACGGUACCAGAGGAAUCAGCAUCGGCUAACUCCGCCCAGCAGCCGC
RNAcentral lists this ribosomal RNA (445 nucleotides) under uncultured bacterium. RNAcentral describes it as "SSU rRNA". It matches the Rfam family "Bacterial small subunit ribosomal RNA", at positions 26 to 518 of the family's 1533-position model. The record is from RNAcentral.